UACGAAGGGGGCUAGCGCUGUUCGGAAUUACUGGGCGUAAAGCGCACGCAGGCGGUUCGCCAAGUUUGGAGUGACAGUUGUCGGCUCAACCGACAAAGGACUUCAAAAACUGGUGAACUUGAGGACGAGAGAGGAACAUGGAACUCCAGGUGUAGUAGUGAAAUGCGUAGAUAUCUGGAAGAACACCAAUGGCGAAGGCAAUGUUCUGGCUCGUUUCUGACGCUCAGGUGCGAAAGCCAGGGGAGCGAACGGG
This 253-nucleotide ribosomal RNA is filed under the name uncultured bacterium. RNAcentral's name for it is "partial 16S ribosomal RNA". It matches the Rfam family "Bacterial small subunit ribosomal RNA", at positions 524 to 776 of the family's 1533-position model. The record is from RNAcentral.